UCCAUCCCACCCAGAGUCCCCAACAGCCUCAGGACUCUAGAACCCAAAUAUAGUGCAGGGUUGUUGAAGUGAUAAAGAAACGAAAACGCAAGACGGGAUGAGGAUGUGAGGCCUAGAGGGGCAGCAGCCAUUUUUUCAGCAUGAGGGCAGAGGAAGAAGAGGAGGAAGAAGAGAAGAGCUAACACUUAUAGAGUGCUUAAUGUGUGCCAGAUACUGUUCCAAGCUCUCACGCUGGUUUUCUUCAUCGUGUAGAAAACAUGGCUGAGUUUUAUACCUUGCACUUUUAGCUACUGGAGAAAAAACUGAAUCCUUUCUGGCA
Molecule: long non-coding RNA, 319 nt
Organism: Prionailurus viverrinus (fishing cat)
Lineage: Eukaryota; Metazoa; Chordata; Mammalia; Carnivora; Felidae
Exons: 3
Source: RefSeq, a predicted model, not a curated record